AGAAUAAUUUAAAGUCGGACCUGCCCAAUGAUUUAAGUAUUUAAUGGCCGCGGUAUUUUGACCGUGCAAAGGUAGCAUAAUAAUUAGUUUUUUAAUUGAAAGCUUGAAUGAAAGGUUUGAUGAGAAAAUAACUGUCUCUAAUUAAAUUUAUUAGAAUUUUAUUUUUAAGUAAAAAAGCUUAAAUUUUUAUUGAAGACGAGAAGACCCUAUAGAGUUUUAUUUUUAUUAAUAGUUGUAAAGUUUGGUUUUAUAUUAAUUAUAUUUACUAAUAAGAAUUUAGUUGGGGUGAUUGAAAAAUUUAAUAAACUUUUUUUAAAUUAAUACAUUAAUAAGUGAGUAUAUGAUCCUAUUUUUUAGAUUAAAAGAUUAAAUUACCUUAGGGAUAACAGCGUAAUUUUUUUUUAGAGUUCAAAUCGAAAAAAAAGAUUGCGACCUCGAUGUUGGAUUAAAAUUAAAAAAUGGUGUAGGAGCUAUAUUUUUGGGUCUGUUCGACCUUUAAAAUUUUACAUGAUCUGAGUUUAGACCGGCGUGAGCCAGGU
RNAcentral lists this ribosomal RNA (539 nucleotides) under Eubulomus cf. multicostatus MB-2015. RNAcentral describes it as "partial 16S ribosomal RNA". It matches the Rfam family "Bacterial large subunit ribosomal RNA", at positions 1839 to 2631 of the family's 2925-position model. The record is from RNAcentral. Lineage: Eukaryota; Metazoa; Arthropoda; Insecta; Coleoptera; Curculionidae.